GACGAACGCUAGCGGCGUGCCUAAUACAUGCAAGUAGAACGCAGUUGCGCACGGGUGAGUAACGCGUAGGUAACUGCCUCAUAGCGGGGGAUAACUAUUGGACACGAUAGCUAAUACCGCACACUGUGAGAUGGACCUGCGUUGUAUUAGCUAGUUGGAGAGGUAAAGGCGCACCAAGGCGACGAUACAUAGCCGACCUGAGAGGGUGAAAGGGCAAAAUGGGACGGAGACACUGCCCAGACUCCUAAGGGAGGCAGCAGUAGGGAAACUUCGGAAAUGGGAGGAAGUCUUGCCGAGAAACGCCGCGGGAGUGAAUGAGGUUUUCGGAUCGGAAAGGUCUGUUGUUAGAGAAGCGGUAACUAACCAGAAAGGGACGGCUAACGACGUGCCAGCAGCCGCGGUAAUAC
This 407-nucleotide ribosomal RNA is filed under the name uncultured bacterium. RNAcentral describes it as "partial 16S ribosomal RNA". It matches the Rfam family "Bacterial small subunit ribosomal RNA", at positions 28 to 526 of the family's 1533-position model. The record is from RNAcentral.